RNAcentral lists this ribosomal RNA (365 nucleotides) under uncultured Sphingobacteriales bacterium. Its description in RNAcentral is "bacterial SSU rRNA". It matches the Rfam family "Bacterial small subunit ribosomal RNA", at positions 1017 to 1382 of the family's 1533-position model. The record is from RNAcentral. Lineage: Bacteria; Pseudomonadati; Bacteroidota; Sphingobacteriia; Sphingobacteriales.
CCCUUCGGGGCUUUCUGCAAGGUGCUGCAUGGUUGUCGUCAGCUCGUGCCGUGAGGUGUCGGGUUAAGUCCCAUAACGAGCGCGACCCUUAUCGUUAGUUGCCAUCUGGUAAAGCCAGGGGACUCUAGGCGAAACUGCCACCGUAAGGUGAGAGGAAGUGGGAUGACGUCAAUCAGCACGGCCCUUAUGUCCAGGGCUACACACGUGUUACAAUGGCCGGUACAGAGGGCAGCUACCUGGUGACAGGAUGCUAAUCUCGAAAACCGGUCUCAGUUCGGAUCGAAGUCUGCAACUCGACUUCGUGAAGCUGGAUUCGCUAGUAAUCGCGCAUCAGCCAUGGCGCGGUGAAUACGUUCCCGGGCCUU